RNAcentral lists this ribosomal RNA (406 nucleotides) under uncultured bacterium. Its description in RNAcentral is "partial 16S ribosomal RNA". It matches the Rfam family "Bacterial small subunit ribosomal RNA", at positions 29 to 526 of the family's 1533-position model. The record is from RNAcentral.
AUUGAACGCUGGCGGCAGGCCUAACACAUGCAAGUCGAGCGAGCGGCGGACGGGUGAGUAAUGUCUGGGAAACUGCCUGAUGGAGGGGGAUAACUACUGGAAACGGUAGCUAAUACCGCAUACCAUCAGAUGUGCCCAGAUGGGAUUAGCUAGUAGGUGGGGUAACGGGUCACCUAGGCGACGAGCCCUAGCUGGUCUGAGAGGAGGACCAGGCACGCGGGAACGGAGAGACGGUCCAGACUCCUACGGGAGGCAGCAGUGGGGAAUAUUGCACAAUGGGCGCAAGGCUGAUGCAGCGAUGGCGCGUGUGUGAAGAAGGCCUUCGGGUUGUAAAGCACUUUCAGCGGGGAGGCGUUACCCGCAGAAGAAGCACCGGCGAACUCCGUGCCAGCAGCCGCGGUAAUAC